GGAGUUUGGACCGUGUCUCAGUUCCAAUGUGGGGGACCUUCCUCUCAGAACCCCUACUGAUCGUCGGCCAGGUGGGGCGUUACCCCGCCUGCAACCUAAUCAGACGCAUCCCCAUCCCAUAGCGAUGAAUCUUUCGUCCAGGUCAGAUGUCUUCUCUGGACAACAUAGGGAAUUAAUCCGACUUUCGCCGGGCUAUCCUCUACUAAGGGGAAGGUUGGAUACGCGUUACUCACCCGUGCGCCGGUCGCCAUCUAUCAAAGCAAGCUUCGAUAAUGAUGCCCCUCGACUUGCAUGUGUUAAGCCUGUAGCUAGCGUUCAUC
RNAcentral lists this ribosomal RNA (320 nucleotides) under uncultured Bacteroidales bacterium. RNAcentral's name for it is "partial 16S ribosomal RNA". The record is from RNAcentral. Lineage: Bacteria; Pseudomonadati; Bacteroidota; Bacteroidia; Bacteroidales.